UUACCUGAAUACAUGGAGACAA
This 22-nucleotide small nuclear RNA is filed under the name Arabidopsis thaliana (thale cress). RNAcentral describes it as "snRNA_10355". Lineage: Eukaryota; Viridiplantae; Streptophyta; Magnoliopsida; Brassicales; Brassicaceae. The record is from RNAcentral.